This 442-nucleotide ribosomal RNA is filed under the name uncultured bacterium. Its description in RNAcentral is "partial 16S ribosomal RNA". It matches the Rfam family "Bacterial small subunit ribosomal RNA", at positions 338 to 795 of the family's 1533-position model. The record is from RNAcentral.
CCUACGGGGAGCAGCAGUGGGGAAUAUUGGGCAAUGGGCGCAAGCCUGACCCAGCAACGCCGCGUGAAGGAAGAAGGCUUUCGGGUUGUAAACUUCUUCUGUCAGGGAAGAGUAGAAGACGGUACCUGACGAAUAAGCCACGGCUAACUACGUGCCAGCAGCCGCGGUAAUACGUAGGUGGCAAGCGUUGUCCGGAUUUACUGGGUGUAAAGGGCGUGUAGCCGGGUUGACAAGUCAGAUGUGAAAUCCUGCGGCUUAACCGCAGAACUGCAUUUGAAACUGUUGAUCUUGAGUACUGGAGAGGCAGACGGAAUUCCUAGUGUAGCGGUGAAAUGCGUAGAUAUUAGGAGGAACACCAGUGGCGAAGGCGGUCUGCUGGACAGCAACUGACGGUGAGGCGCGAAAGCGUGGGGAGCAAACAGGAUUAGAUACCCCAGUAGUC